CCUGAAGAGGCUCUGUGGUUGAGCGACCGGCUUCGGACCGGUAGGGCGCAGGUUCGAUUCCUGCCUUCAGGU
This 72-nucleotide transfer RNA is filed under the name Obscuribacter sp. (SeqCode). RNAcentral describes it as "tRNA-Arg". It matches the Rfam family "tRNA". From Rfam's summary of the family: Transfer RNA (tRNA) molecules are approximately 80 nucleotides in length. Their secondary structure includes four short double-helical elements and three loops (D, anti-codon, and T loops). Further hydrogen bonds mediate the characteristic L-shaped molecular structure. tRNAs have two regions of fundamental functional importance: the anti-codon, which is responsible for specific mRNA codon recognition, and the 3' end, to which the tRNAs corresponding amino acid is attached (by aminoacyl-tRNA synthetases). tRNAs cope with the degeneracy of the genetic code in two manners: having more than one tRNA (with a specific anti-codon) for a particular amino acid; and 'wobble' base-pairing, i.e. permitting non-standard base-pairing at the 3rd anti-codon position. The record is from RNAcentral. Lineage: Bacteria; Bacillati; Candidatus Melainabacteria; Candidatus Obscuribacterales; Obscuribacteraceae (SeqCode).